RNAcentral lists this ribosomal RNA (253 nucleotides) under uncultured bacterium. Its description in RNAcentral is "partial 16S ribosomal RNA". It matches the Rfam family "Bacterial small subunit ribosomal RNA", at positions 524 to 776 of the family's 1533-position model. The record is from RNAcentral.
UACGUAGGGCGCAAGCGUUGUCCGGAAUUAUUGGGCGUAAAGAGCUCGUAGGCGGUCUGUCACGUCGGCUGUGAAAACCCGAGGCUCAACCUCGGGCCUGCAGUCGAUACGGGCAAACUAGAGUGUUGCAGGGGAGACUGGAAUUCCUGGUGUAGCGGUGAAAUGCGCAGAUAUCAGGAGGAACACCGGUGGCGAAGGCGGGUCUCUGGGCAACAACUGACGCUGAGGAGCGAAAGCGUGGGGAGCGAACAGG